This is a non-coding RNA of Phlyctochytrium arcticum, 74 nucleotides long. The record is from the annotation of a GenBank genome assembly. NCBI's taxonomy places the organism in Eukaryota, Fungi, Chytridiomycota, Chytridiomycetes, Chytridiales, Chytridiaceae.
GGCCUCGUGGCGCAGCGGAUUAGCGCGUCUCCCUCCUAAGGAGAAGGUCGUCAGUUCGAAUCUGACCUGGGUCG